AUAGACUGCUGAAUGUUCAAACUGUGUUCAAAUAAGACUGUGUCAGAAGCAGAAUCUGAAGUGGAGCUUCUAGUAUCCCCAGGAGCGCGAAGUGAACACGGAAGGUACCUGCAGGAUCCAAUUGUGUCCGUUGAUCUCUCAGAGUGGCUGAGGAUAAUAGAGUUUCUUCUUCAAGGUCUCAAGGUCUGAAGCAUCCCACAGAAUGAUCCUACUGAAUAACUCCCAUAAGCUGCUGGCCCUAUACAAAUCCUUGGCCAGGAGCAUCCCUGAGUCCCUGAAGGUCAGGGAACAGUGGGAGGUCAGGGUAUGGGAGUAGGGGUGUUGAGGAUGAGAAAAUAGUAGGCUUGUGAUUCUAGUCCUUCCUGACUGUUUGCAGAGGGUUGGAGCUGGGAAACAGGAUGGGACUGGGGGCACAGGCUGCAUAUCAAGAGCUGCUGCUUCUCUUUGGGAAGAGGCAGCUAGGUCCACUCUGCAGGUUUUGCCACUCAUUUGGAGAGGCAGUGGAGCAUGGUGGCUAUGAACAUGGUUUGGAGCCUGUCUGAAUGGAUAUGCAUUCCAAGGCUGCCAUUUUCUAGUCAGAUGGCUUUGUG
This 590-nucleotide small RNA is filed under the name Pan troglodytes (chimpanzee). RNAcentral's name for it is "retained intron". The record is from RNAcentral. Lineage: Eukaryota; Metazoa; Chordata; Mammalia; Primates; Hominidae.